This 76-nucleotide transfer RNA is filed under the name Candidatus Harrisonbacteria bacterium CG10_big_fil_rev_8_21_14_0_10_45_28. RNAcentral describes it as "tRNA-Phe". It matches the Rfam family "tRNA". Rfam says of the family: Transfer RNA (tRNA) molecules are approximately 80 nucleotides in length. Lineage: Bacteria; Candidatus Harrisoniibacteriota. The record is from RNAcentral.
GCUGAGGUAGCCAAGUUGGUCACGGCGGGCGCCUGAAGAGCGUCAAAUGCAGGUUCGAUUCCUGCCCUCAGCACCC